This 411-nucleotide ribosomal RNA is filed under the name uncultured bacterium. Its description in RNAcentral is "bacterial SSU rRNA". It matches the Rfam family "Bacterial small subunit ribosomal RNA", at positions 954 to 1363 of the family's 1533-position model. The record is from RNAcentral.
GCAUAACGCGAAGAACCUUACCAAGGCUUGACAUCCCCUUGACCGGCACAGAGAUGUGCCCUCCUCCUUCGGGGCGAAGGUGACAGGUGGUGCAUGGUUGUCGUCAGCUCGUGUCGUGAGAUGUUGGGUUAAGUCCCGCAACGAGCGCAACCCUUAUCCUUAGUUGCCAGCAUUCAGUUGGGCACUCUAAGGAGACCGCCGGUGACAAACCGGAGGAAGGUGGGGAUGACGUCAAGUCAUCAUGGCCUUUAUGGCCAGGGCUACACACGUGCUACAAUGGUAAGUACAGAGGGAAGCCAAGUCGCGAGACGGAGCCAAUCCCAGAAAACUUAUCGUAGUCCGGAUCGGAGUCUGCAACUCGACUCCGUGAAGUCGGAAUCGCUAGUAAUCGCAGAUCAGCAUUGCUGCGGU